RNAcentral lists this non-coding RNA (102 nucleotides) under Erythrobacter neustonensis. RNAcentral describes it as "Porphyrobacter neustonensis Glycine sequence". It matches the Rfam family "Glycine riboswitch aptamer". Rfam says of the family: This family represents the bacterial glycine riboswitch. Glycine riboswitches usually consist of two metabolite-binding aptamers domains with similar structures in tandem. The aptamers cooperatively bind glycine to regulate the expression of downstream genes. Lineage: Bacteria; Pseudomonadati; Pseudomonadota; Alphaproteobacteria; Sphingomonadales; Erythrobacteraceae. The record is from Rfam by way of RNAcentral.
GGCAGGCGAGCGGGAGAGCCCGAUGCACCCUUGAUCGGGGGCAAAGGCGCCGAAGGAGCAACCGCCCCGGAAACUCUCAGGCCAACGGACCGCUCGGCUGCG